Long non-coding RNA from Pogonomyrmex barbatus (red harvester ant), 341 nucleotides. The record is from RefSeq and is a predicted model, not a curated record. NCBI's taxonomy places the organism in Eukaryota, Metazoa, Arthropoda, Insecta, Hymenoptera, Formicidae.
UAGAUAAAAUAGAUAAAAUAAAUAAAAUAAAUAAAUAAAUAGAUAAAUAAAUAGACCGGCAACACGAUGAUGGAGCGACAGAAGACGGACAAUGAGACGAGUAACGAGAAUUGAUGCCAAGAGAUCAUAUAAAUUACUGCAUCGAUGACAACUGCGCUCUGCCACAGUGAGAUGCUGAACAACACAAUGGACUAGAUCUGGAAUAUAGUGCAAUAUGGAGCGACUGCAACAGCCUAUUCUAUGCGCAGAGAGGAAUGCAAACGCCUGCAGCACUUAUUAUAUGGGCCCAUGCAUAUGUGGCAGUAUUGGUCAUCGACUCACUCUACGCAGCCAAAGUGAGG